GGGUCUGUAGCCCAAUUGGCAGAGGCACACGGUUUAGGUCCGUGCCAGUGAGAGUUCGAGUCUCUCCAGACCCACGA
RNAcentral lists this transfer RNA (77 nucleotides) under Pseudonocardiaceae bacterium YIM PH 21723. RNAcentral describes it as "tRNA-Leu". It matches the Rfam family "tRNA". From Rfam's summary of the family: Transfer RNA (tRNA) molecules are approximately 80 nucleotides in length. The record is from RNAcentral. Lineage: Bacteria; Bacillati; Actinomycetota; Actinomycetes; Pseudonocardiales; Pseudonocardiaceae.